UAGACUCCAAAGUGUCAAAGC
RNAcentral lists this non-coding RNA (21 nucleotides) under Caenorhabditis elegans. Lineage: Eukaryota; Metazoa; Nematoda; Chromadorea; Rhabditida; Rhabditidae. The record is from RNAcentral.